This 497-nucleotide ribosomal RNA is filed under the name uncultured bacterium. RNAcentral describes it as "partial 16S ribosomal RNA". It matches the Rfam family "Bacterial small subunit ribosomal RNA", at positions 28 to 507 of the family's 1533-position model. The record is from RNAcentral.
GAUGAACGCUGGCGGCGUGCCUAAUACAUGCAAGUCGAGCGAACAGACGAGGAGCUUGCUCCUCUGACGUUAGCGGCGGACGGGUGAGUAACACGUGGAUAACCUACCUAUAAGACUGGGAUAACUUCGGGAAACCGGAGCUAAUACCGGAUAAUAUAUUGAACCGCAUGGUUCAAUAGUGAAAGACGGUUUUGCUGUCACUUAUAGAUGGAUCCGCGCCGCAUUAGCUAGUUGGUAAGGUAACGGCUUACCAAGGCGACGAUGCGUAGCCGACCUGAGAGGGUGAUCGGCCACACUGGAACUGAGACACGGUCCAGACUCCUACGGGAGGCAGCAGUAGGGAAUCUUCCGCAAAGGGCGAAAGCCUGACGGAGCAACGCCGCGUGAGUGAUGGAGGUCUUCGGAUCGUAAAACCCUGUUAUUAGGGAAGAACAAAUGUGUAAGUAACUAUGCACGUCUUGACGGUACCUAAUCAGAAAGCCACGGCUAACUACGUG